AUGUGGCAAGCAAAGGUUUGGAGAUGCAUAUCCGAAGACAUCAAAUGGUGUGUUCGAAGUUACAUCUCCGAAUUCUGGGAUGGCCCAGCGACUGCUCUGUACAUGGUUUUGUUGGAUCGGAACGAAUCAUCAACUUUUGCAGACAGUGCACAAGCUGAUAUCUGGAGCAGUUUGCAGUUAUUGAUUACAAUGGACGUGUCGAAUACUUCAACAUCUUUUGCAGAGGUUAAAGUACUCCUCUUUAUUAGGAUGAAGCUAAAGUUGUGUCAUUUCAAAUGGGUACAGAAUCUUGCAAAUUGGAUGAAAAUUUGUUUCACUGAAUCGUCAUCUUUUGCAGGGACAUGA
RNAcentral lists this long non-coding RNA (345 nucleotides) under Vicia faba (fava bean). The record is from RNAcentral. Lineage: Eukaryota; Viridiplantae; Streptophyta; Magnoliopsida; Fabales; Fabaceae.